GGUUGUAGCUCAGUGGUAUAGCACUUGCCUAGCAUGUGUGAAGCACUGGGUUUGAUUCUCAGCACCA
This 67-nucleotide transfer RNA is filed under the name Marmota monax (woodchuck). RNAcentral describes it as "tRNA.Ala". Lineage: Eukaryota; Metazoa; Chordata; Mammalia; Rodentia; Sciuridae. The record is from RNAcentral.